AAGUCGUAACAAGGUUUCCGUAGGUGAACCUGCGGAAGGAUCAUUAACAAAUUACAACGUUUGUUGCAACCCACUCUGCGUAUCAUUACCUGUUGCUUCCCCCGGCGGCUUGCUGCUGCUGGGGGAAGGGAACCGCGAACUCUGUUUUCCUUGAAAUCGGUCUGAAAUCUAGUUUAUCGUUAAACGUUAAAAACUUUCAACAACGGAUCUCUUGGUUCUCCCAUCGAUGAAGAACGCAGCGAAAUGCGAUAAGUAGUGUGAAUUGCAGAAUUCAGUGAAUCAUCGAAUCUUUGAACGCACAUUGCGCCCCCUGGCAUUCCGGGGGGCAUGCCUGUUCGAGCGUCAUCAAAACCAUUCGGGACGCGGGUGCAAACCCUCGGCUCGGUCUUGGGCAUGAGGGAUCAAAACCCUCGGCCUGCAAUCCAGCGGCAGACUCCCUGCGUAGCAGUAGCGUGAUAGAAUCGUCAAUCGCUAACGCGCGACGGCGACGUCUGGCCAUAACCCCCAAAUCUG
RNAcentral lists this ribosomal RNA (513 nucleotides) under uncultured Tarzetta. RNAcentral describes it as "eukaryotic LSU rRNA". The stretch from base 192 to 345 matches the Rfam family "5.8S ribosomal RNA". Lineage: Eukaryota; Fungi; Ascomycota; Pezizomycetes; Pezizales; Pyronemataceae. The record is from RNAcentral.